UACGUAGGGUGCGAGCGUUGUCCGGAAUUAUUGGGCGUAAAGGGCUCGUAGGCGGUUUGUCACGUCGGGAGUGAAAACUCGGGGCUUAACUCCGAGCCUGCUUCCGAUACGGGCUGACUAGAGGUAUGCAGGGGAGAACGGAAUUCCUGGUGUAGCGGUGAAAUGCGCAGAUAUCAGGAGGAACACCGGUGGCGAAGGCGGUUCUCUGGGCAUUACCUGACGCUGAGGAGCGAAAGUGUGGGGAGCGAACAGG
Molecule: ribosomal RNA, 253 nt
Filed under: uncultured bacterium
Lineage: Bacteria
Description: partial 16S ribosomal RNA
Rfam family: Bacterial small subunit ribosomal RNA
Source: RNAcentral